GAUGAACGCUGGCGGCGUGCCUAAUACAUGCAAGUCGAGCGAACGGACGAGAAGCUUGCUUCUCUGAUGUUAGCGGCGGACGGGUGAGUAACACGUGGAUAACCUACCUAUAAGACUGGGAUAACUUCGGGAAACCGGAGCUAAUACCGGAUAAUAUUUUGAACCGCAUGGUUCAAAAGUUAAAGACGGUCUUUCUGUCACUUAUAGAUGGAUCCGCGCUGCAUUAGCUAGUUGGUAAGGUAACGGAUUACCAAGGCAACGAUGCAUAGCCGACCUGAGAGGGUGAUCGGCCACACUGGAACUGAGACACGGUCCAGACUCCUACGGGAGGCAGCAGUAGGGAAUCUUCCGCAAUGGGCGAAAGCAUGACGGAGCAACGCCGAGUGAGUGAUGAAGGUCUUCGGAUCGUAAAACUCUGUUAUUAGGGAAGAACAAAUGUGUAAGUAAAUGUGCACAUCUUGACGGUACCUAAUCAGAAAGCCACGGCUAACUACGUG
Molecule: ribosomal RNA, 497 nt
Filed under: uncultured bacterium
Lineage: Bacteria
Description: partial 16S ribosomal RNA
Rfam family: Bacterial small subunit ribosomal RNA
Source: RNAcentral